This 4109-nucleotide long non-coding RNA is filed under the name Zea mays. RNAcentral describes it as "long non-coding RNA (ZMAY_LNC002472)". The record is from RNAcentral. Lineage: Eukaryota; Viridiplantae; Streptophyta; Magnoliopsida; Poales; Poaceae.
CACGAUUGAAGCCAAAUUUCUGCAAACAAAGUCUUUGAUUUUUGACGCUUUGAGUAGGUCGAAGAACUUCUGAACCUCCGGUGUAGGUGAAUCAUGAUGAUCUGGUGCCAGUUCAGGCUGCAGAUCCUCAAGCAUCUGGUCCAUCCUAUCAACAUCAUCUUCACCAUCAUCAACUUCUACUUCUGUUGCUCGUUCAACAUCUUCACCGUGGAGAUACCAGACCUUAUAGUCUGGCACGAAACCAUGUGAGCAAAGGUGUAGUGUGACCUGCCUCUUGGUGUGGCUCGUCAUAUUUCUACAUUUAUUGCAUGGACACCUAAUAUUAUCUAUUUGUGACAAAGUAGUUGCAUGGUCCAGAAACAUUUGCGUCUUGGCAAACCAUUCACUAGUGUGACACCCACCCUUCUUGAAACCUUCAUACAUCCAAUCACGUCUAUCACCCAUUAUUGCGGCUGUGUACGAGUAAAGAGUGUGUGUGAGACAAUCACGUUUCUACACGUCACACAUACAUCUAUAGGUAAGUAGUAAAACUAUAUAUAUACAUAAAUAAUUAUAUAUACACAUAAAUAACAUCAAUUUUAUCAAUAUCGAAACCUUCAUACAUCCUAAUAUCUCUACUACUUAUUAAGAAGGUAAGAGUAGUCUGCCUCCCCUCGUUCUACCUCCCUUCGUUCUGCCACUCCCUCGUUCUGCCUUCUCUGACCGACAGGUGGGCCACCUAUGUCGGCGCGCGUCUCUUCUAUGUCUCCUUCACGUGACGCAGACACACAACAACUGCUCCCUCUUCAUCUCCGCACCCUCUGUCCAUUCCUUCCACACCCCAUGGUAACGUACCAAACCCCACUCCGUUUCCGCUGCUCCUCCCCUUGUGCGGCAUCGUCGCCACCAAGGCCAUCGGCGGCUUAGCCAAAGACCGUUGCGGCCCCGACUCCACCGUAGCCCACCACCCGACAACCGCUGCGACCUACACGGACCAAACCCGCCGUCGCGACCUCCUCCCUUCCUCCGUCUCUGCGCUGGGCCUCCUCCCUUCCCCCAUCUCUGCACUCGGCGCCCUCACCGCCUCUCCCUCCACCUCUACUCCACCUCCCCAGCCGCCCACAACCACAGCGGCGGCAGACGCGGCCCCUGGCCUCGGCGUCGACGGGCGCGACUCCUGGGCCACAGCGGCGGUGGACGUGGCCCCUGGCCUCGGUGUCGACGGGUGCUGUAACACCCCAGGUGUUACUCAGGGUGUCCACCCAGGGCUACACCAUUUAAACCUACUAUUUCAUGUGGGUUAGUUUGAGCAAAGUACAUCAAACUUAGGAUUCAAGGUCCUAAGCAUGUGCAACCCAUCUUGGAUAUCAUGCCCUAACUUAUCAUGCACAUCUAAAGGGGAGAAUUUCCCAAAACCUUAAUACCAACCCCUUUGGACAAUGGGAACCCUAGAUGUAAGUAUGACCAAAAGGUCAUGAAAACCUUUUGAUCAUGGCUUGGGCCAAGUAUAAAAGUUGUAGUACACUUAAUAACCUACAAAUAAUAGUAAGAAAGUAACCCCAAAAAGAUUUCAGAAAAGCCCCAAAAAGUUCACCAAAGGUUUGAGCACAAAAGAAAAAUCAGAAAAUGCCUAAGUCCAAAACUAACCUUUGCCCAAAGAUCACACAUGUUCACCCUCAUCCAAAAUUCAAAACACUUCGACCCAAUUGACAAAGUGGCGCCAAAUUACCCCUAGAAUGCCCUGGAGGAAGUUGACACCUACCCUAAGUCGUUUGACAUGACUUGGCAUAGCUUUUGUCCCGGUUUGGACAGCUAUGACAUAGGCAACUUCUCACCCCUCUAUCUCCCUACCCCGACCGUAUCUUGACUUGGAACUCACAGCAAAAAGGUAGGAUAUGGAGCAGGGAAGAGAUCGUACACAGUGGUUUUGCCAAGAUACGCACGCUAAGGUGCUCAAAUCCGCCGUUGAACCAUGGUAGAAGCGAGCUCCCACGUGUUCGACGCGGGCUGACACUCGGGGGCGCGCUCAGAGCACGCCCGUGCGCGAACCCCCGUGCGCCCGUGGCCGCCCGUGACCACGCCCGCGCCACGGCUAUAAAGCCCGUCCCAGUGCCCGGCUGCCUUCCCCGUUGCCUCCUCCGUACCACGCCUAACUCCCCCGAGCUCGCCCAUAGCUCCGGCGACCUCCCCUCGACCCGCCAGAGCCGCCCGAGGGCAACCACCGUGGCCAACCCCUUUCCCACCCUCCUCCGCUCGGUCCAAGCCCUCGGAUAGCUUCCCUGAGAGGCCGUGAAGCUUGCACGAGCUUGAACCGAGGACCUGCGCCACCGGAAUAGCGAAAUCGUGCUCGCCGGAGUUCAGAACCCCGCCGGCGCACGUGGACCUGGUAAGUCACUGCGCCAUUUUUCGAUUCAAUGCACAGAUAGCCUCUACAUCACCCCAUGAAGCUCACCAUGCAAUUGGAUUGAACUAGAUCGCCGUGGUUUGACCGGAACACUCGCCGCCGACGAGAGCCCCCGCCUGCGCACGUGGACCGGACGAUUCCGGUCACCCCCGCCGUCAAGCCGUACACCGUUGUGACCGUCAGAACCUCCCGGAGCCAAUCCCGCCCCUCGCCGGACCUCUCUCGCCACCGGUAAGCCGCGCCACCCUUUUCUUUCUCGCGGGUACUGUUUAAACCUAGGGAGGGACCGCGGGGGAGAAGAAAAGAAAGCUAGGGGGUUUUGCGCAUUGUCAGUGACUCAGAUAAAUAGUAGCGCGGGGGUAUAACUGAGAGAGUUAGUUUGGAAAUAACCCAAGGACCUCGGUGCAAAGUGGUUUUCCAGGAAACCUUUUAUUAAAUCUGAUUUAAAAUUUGAACAGAACUUGAAUAAUUCAUAUCUUCUGUUUUAUUCAUCCAAAUUUAGUCAAACCAAUUUUGUCAGAUCUUAAAUAAUAUAAACUACUUAAGAAAAAUAUAAAACCCCUAUGUACUACAGAAACCUUUAGGGUUCUGAUUUAAAUACUGAUUUGACCAAAAGCUAAAUAAUGGGAAGAAAAAUAGUUUCACUUUUUAACUAGAGUUAAGAAAAUUUGGAGAAGUUUAUGACUACCUACUGACCUAUUUAAAAAUGUUAAACCCCUCUGUACAACCCAUUAAGGUAGAGUUUGCCAUUUAUUUUACAUUAUGCUUAAGGUUAAAGAAAAUAGGAAAAGUGAUUUAAAUAAAGAACCAGGGAGCCCCCAUAUUUUUGUUAGUAUACUUAUUCAGUGUAGGUUACUAGAAACAUUGAUUAUACCCUGGUUUAGUAUAAAAUAAAUAGGAUACCUUUUAUUUUAAAAAAACAAGGAAAACUUAGAAAAGCCCUACAAAAAUAACCCCAAGGUAAAAACACCCCAACCUUUGGGAUAGUAAAUCUUUUGUUAUAAAGAAUAUAGGAAAAAUAUGAAAUCUGCUGUUUGACAUUUUUCAAAUAGCAAGGUAGUGGAAAGUGCUUUUUUGGCAUUAAACUUUAGAAAAUCACAACUCAAUAACCAUCCCUUAGCUUUCUGUGAUUUUUGGCACAUAAGCUUAUUAUUACUGUGAGAUGCCAACAAAAAUAACCCUUAGGACAGAACCCACUCCUAGUUGAGAGUUGUAGUGCAAAGUGGCCCUUUUACACAACUUUUUGAUUAUUUUUGUCUAAAGCAUAGCCUUUUUAUUUUGAACCUCAACUUCCUAGGAUGGGCUAUAGUGACCAAUGGCAACCCACUGUAAUUUUUACAAAAUUUUUGGAAAAAGUUAAACCAAUGUUGUAGUUCAAACCUCCACUAGAAUUCAUAAAUAGAAAAUAAAGAAAGGAAAAUGAAUAAUGGAAAUUAGUGUCAUCCUAAAACCCUUUGUAAAAUGUCCACUGAAAUAUAUAAAGGAAAUACCAAUCCACUAUGCCUAUCUCUAACAAAACCUAAACCUAGAGUGAUAAGCACAAACCACUAAAAGCCACGUAUGACCAAGAAACCCUAAGUUACUCAUUAACUUAGUUUUUCUUCCUUUAGCAUAAUGUUAUUAAAUCCUGCAUAAUCAUGACAUACAUAUUCAUUGCAUUUCGAUAGACUGUAACCUCGCUGACGGAGAGUACGUCCUCGUGCCGGAGCAAGAAGCUGCUCAGGAG